AUGAGAUUGUGGGGAUUUCUCCUUUGCCUGGUGACAGCUUCCCAAGGUGUCCUGUCCGACGUGCAGCUGCAGGAGUCGGGCCCAGGACUGGUGAAGCCCUCACAGACCCUCUCCCUCACCUGCACCGUCUCUGGUUUCUCCAUCACCAGUGGUUAUGGUUGGAGCUGGAUCCACCAGCCCACGGGGAAGAGCCUUGAGUGGAUGGGAUACAUUAGUUAUAGUGGAAGCACAGCUUAUAACCCGUCCCUCAAGAGCCGCACCUCCAUCACCAGAGACACGUCCAAGAACCAGUUCUCCCUGCAGCUGAGCUCUGUGACCGACGAGGACACAGGCGUGUAUUACUGUGUGAGAGACACAGUGACAGGAAGUCAUCUGUCCUGGAUGGAGAAGCAGCUGCCUGAGGGCCAGACACAGCUCUUCCACUUCUAUGUGGAGGUUUCAGGGUGA
Non-coding RNA from Galeopterus variegatus (Sunda flying lemur), 447 nucleotides. The record is from the annotation of a RefSeq genome assembly. NCBI's taxonomy places the organism in Eukaryota, Metazoa, Chordata, Mammalia, Dermoptera, Cynocephalidae.